ACAAUCAUAAUAAUAUCAAUUCCUUCAACAUUGAUCACUUCAAAAUUAAUUUCUUUAACAAUACUAUUUUCUAGAAAUUGACAAGUAAAAGCCUUACUAAUUCUAUAAUUAUAUACACAUCAUCAAACUUGUAUUUAAAUAUAUAUUUUAGCAGAAGUCACAGUUAAAAAUUCAUAUAAAUUCUUGUCUGUUAUUAAAUUUCUCCAAUCCAACUUUUGUGAAUUUAGCUCUAGUUAGUUUGUAAGUGAAUAAAUUAAACAAAUACAUUGUCUAUUGUCUAUUGUAAGUAGUGUGUUUGCUUGCGUACGAGCCCACCCCAAAAACUAGAGUACAUUUUUAUGAAAAACAAAAACAGUAAAGAUAUUAUCAAAGCUUUUAUUUGAAACAACACAUAUAAUGAUUAUUGAUUUACAAAAUAUUCAUUUGCGGCCUAUUCAUAAAAGAGGCUCUGAAGAUGAUCCAUCAAACUUAAGACCAAUUUCAAUAGUGCCUAUAUUAUGUAUCUAAAUUAUUUGAGAUGAUAAUGCAGGAGCAACUCUCUGAGUAUUUUAAAAAU
Long non-coding RNA from Nilaparvata lugens (brown planthopper), 556 nucleotides. RefSeq lists it as uncharacterized. The transcript has 2 exons. The record is from RefSeq and is a predicted model, not a curated record. Lineage: Eukaryota; Metazoa; Arthropoda; Insecta; Hemiptera; Delphacidae.